AAAAUUUAUUAUCUUAAAUAACAACUUACCUCACAUUAUUGCAGGACAAUAUCUUAGACAUUUGUGGACUCCUUAAUGAUACUUCAACAAGCCAAACAUAGCCUUAAUAGUCGCUUACAAAUUAGACUACUGCCCUAAGUAGUCCACAUUUCUUCAGUUACCAACCAAGAUGCCCUUCCAUAGUUACUACAUAAACAAUAAAGCAUAGCUAUGCUAGAAGAAGCUACAUACUCCUACCCAACUACACUUAAACAGAAGCCAAAACAUCAUAUGGCAUUUGAGUUCCCUUCAUCUAUUUGAUCUUGACUAAUAAACUUUACUGUUUUCAUAGAAAAUAGACAAAUAUCUAAAUUCCAUUUUGAUAUCUCUGUAAAUAAAUAAAUUAGUCAACUGAAUCAUAUGAGUCACGACAUACUUAGCCGAUCUCUUUUUUCUCUAUUCUUUGCCUAAGGUUCAAGCUUUCUGUUCUGUCAUUUCUGUUGGCCUUCCUCUGCCCCUAUGGGCAAAGGAAGGCCUCUCUUUCCCUCACUCGGCUGUGGGUUCCCUCCUCAACUCUGGAGUAGGCUGUAAAUUUGAUUUUUGUUUCUGGAAGCUUUUAGACAUUGGUACGAAUCUGCUGUUUCUGCGUCCCAGCAAUGGCUCCUGCGAAUGAAGCUGUUGACUUAGAGGUAUAGGGUCGUUCCUCCUUUCACUGGUUGGCAUGGGGGCAUGGCGCAAGCGAGACGCCGAUGGUCCUU
Molecule: unclassified non-coding RNA, 737 nt
Filed under: Hevea brasiliensis (rubber tree)
Lineage: Eukaryota; Viridiplantae; Streptophyta; Magnoliopsida; Malpighiales; Euphorbiaceae
Source: RNAcentral